RNAcentral lists this long non-coding RNA (3281 nucleotides) under Marmota monax (woodchuck). The stretch from base 1978 to 2044 matches the Rfam family "tRNA". Lineage: Eukaryota; Metazoa; Chordata; Mammalia; Rodentia; Sciuridae. The record is from RNAcentral.
ACUAAAAAUAUACCAGAAUUUUUUUCUGUUGUAAUAACUUUCAGGCCACAGGAAAAAUCCUAUAAAAUCCUUAAAAGUAGUUUACUACUAUUUUUACAAGUUCUCAACAAAUUAGGUGGAAAGAUUGCUUCUGAGAAAUCUCAAAAGGUUUUCUAGAGUAUCAAAAAAUGAUGUACUUUGGGGUAGAUUUUUACCACUGAAAAAUAUAAAAUUUUUCUUAAGUAAAAAUACGGUAUCUUAUUAUCACUUACACAUUCCUUAAAGUUAGAGACAGUUUUCUAGUCCAUUGCUACUUAAAAUAUCUCAUCUAAGCUGGGCAUAUUGGCACUUACAUGUAAUCCCAGCAAUUAGGGAGGCUGAGGCAGGAUUGCAAGUUUGAGGCCAGCCUCUGCAACUUAGCAACACUCUCAAAAUAAAACAUUAAAAGGACUGGAGAUGUAGCUCAGUGGUAGAGCACCCGUGGGUUGAAUCCCCGGUAAACCCCCCAAACCUGCACCCCUCAAGACAUCUCAUCUAUUAUAAUAAACAAAUUAUCCAUACCAGAUGAAAAUGGAAGCCGUUGAAACUAAUGGGAAUGCAGCUUGCCCUGGUCAGGUAAGUUUUCCUGCUGUAGUUUUUGUAAAUUAUUUCAAGGUUAGGAUAAUGUUUCCUGAUGUUUUCCAUAAUUAGUAAUGAGUUACAUCCCCGGUCCUUUUUAUUUUGAGACAGGGUCUUGGUAAGUUGCUGAGGCUGGCCAUGAACUUGUCACUUACUGACUUCUUAUUUAUUUUCAGUACUAGGGAUUCAACUCAGGGCCUUGCACAUACUAGGCAAGCAAUCUACCACUUAGCUACAUCCCCAGCCUGCCGAUUUCUUAUUCUUUAUUUUUAAAAAAGUAAAGCACAUUUUAAAGUCUAUCUAAGUACAUACUCAAAGCUUUUAAAGAAUUGAGCCUGUUCUCUCUUUAUUGUAGCUUCUUCCAGCAGAAAUAUCUUCGCUACAUUCCUUCAACUCUUCACAUGAAAAAUCUUUAAACUAUGUGCCCUGGAAAAAGGGAUUUUUAAAUAUGGAAGCAUUUUCAACUUUUGAUAGCCUCACAAAAUCAAAGUGGGAUGAAAAACUCUUAAGUUGAUGAGUAUAAUAAAGGAAAUCAGUCUGGCUCUGUCCCAAAGUAAUUAUCGCGAGUCUUGUCUCUAGUUCUAUUGUCAUUCCAUUCUCCUGUGGGCAGAGGUCUGACAAGAACUUGGGUUCUCAUUCUUAUUGCCAGCCCCAAUGAUUAUAAAACUAGCUGGACAAACUUUUCCCUUUUGAUGGUGUUCACUGCUUCAGUUGGAAGAGACAGAGCCUCUCCUGCUCAUGGAAAGACUUUGUUUUCCCUCUAUGGAUUUAUAAUAGCCUAAGGGUAAAACUAUACUGUAAUGAACCAUAUGGUAAAUGCUUUAGAGGAAUACUUUUUAAACCUUAAAAGUGUGGUGCAGAAAUUUCUAAGAAAUAAAUCCCCAUCCAACUCUAAAACCCUAACUGGGUCAAUUUAUUUGGUAAUCAUUUAACUUUCAAUACUUGCUCACUAUGUCUGGAAUCCCAAUAAAAGUGACCUCACUAUAAUUCCUGCUUUGAUUGGUGUAACUGGUGACACAUUAAAUGCAAGUUUCAACAACACAGUGUAUCUCUAUUAGAGAUGUAUCAUUAAAGAUCCAGGAUUUAGCAAGAGGCUCUGUAUUUUAGGAAAGCAAUAGUAAGAAUUUAAAGCAUUUAAACUAUAAACAACUGAGGUUUAUUUUGUAUGACCAGGAAUUCUCAACUUGAAGCUCUAUUAUGGGUUGAACUGCAUCCCCCAAAAAAGAUUUGCUGAAGUCUUCACCCCCAAUAAUUAAUUCAGAAAGUGAUCUUAUUUAGAAACAGAGUCUUUACAGAGGUAAUUAAGUUAAAAUGAGGUAACUAUAGUGGGUUCAAUUCUAAUAUGACAGGUGUUAUAUAAAAGCGAAAUAUAUAGGCUGAGGUUGUGGCUCAGUGGUAGAGCACUUGCCUUGCACGUGCGAGACCCUGGGUUCAAUCCACAGCACCACAUAAAAAUAAAUAAGUGAAAUAAAGAUAUUGUGUCCAACUACAACUAAAAAUUAAAUAUUUUUUAAAAGGGAAAUAUGUAUAGAGAUACACAUAGAAGACAAUAUGGAGAGACAUAGGGAGACCCCCCCCCCAUGUGAAGACAAAAGAUUGAAAUGAUGUAUCUACAAGACUGUCAGCAGUUAGGAGACCUGGAGGAGAUCCUUCCCUAGUACCUUCAGAGGGAGCAUGGCUCCACCAACACCCUGAUCUUGGACUUCUGGUCUCUUGAACUGUGAGACAAUAGGUACCUGUUGUUUCCAGUUACCCGGUUUGCAGUCCUUGUUAAGGCAGUACCAGAAAACUAAUAUAACACCCUCCCAAAACUAUACAUUUUCUUCUUCAUACAUAGGAGGGUCUUUCAUGACUGUUAAUUUUUUAUUUUAUCUUUCAUGUUUGAACAUGGAUUUGUAGGAUCUUUUAUAAGAUCUUAAAAAUCCUACGACUAUUGAUAUUUUAAAAAUUAAUAUCCAUUUAACAUUGAUCCUGAAUAUAUAAGAACAAUGUCAAUGAUCCCCCAAGUUUCGUAGCAAUGGACUCUAUUUUCAGGUCAAAUUAACAUUAAUAAGAAAGUCUGGGGCUGGAGUUGUGGCUCAGUGGUAGAGCACUUGCCUGGCAUGUGAGGCCCUGGGUUUAAUCCUUAGCACUGCAUAUAAAUAAAUAGGUAAGUAAAAUUUAAAAAAAAAAUGGAAGUCUGAAGCAACAUCUUUAUAGAGAGGAAAUAAGAAUACAUAAAGAUAAGAAAUAUGAAUAGAUUGGGUAUUAAAAUUCAUUUAACUUUUUGUAAAGUUAUAAGGUAAUCAGUAAAUGCAAUUUGUUUUAUUUGAUUGAUUGAUUGAUUGGUACUGGGGAUUGAACCCAGGGGUGCUUUACACUGAGCUACAUCCCCAUUCCUUAUUUUUUAUUUUGAGACAGGGUCUUGCUAAGUUGCUGAAGCUGGCUUUGAAUUUGCAAUCCUCCUGCCUCAGUCCCCCAGUCACUAAGAUUAUAGGUGUGUGCCACCAUGUCUGGCAAAUACUUUUAUUUUUGAAAUUAGUAUAUUUAGUUCAAUCAAUGUUUCUUUUAAAGCAUUCUCAAAUAUGUUAGCUUACUUUUUUGUUUUAAGUUUAAUAUUCACUAAUCUCCUUUCUAUCUAAUUAAGAAACUUAGGUUUUAAAAUUUCCCUAUUAUCUCCAACUGAUCAUUAAAAUCAUAUCCCA